UCAAGAAUACCUCGGACAAGAGGAUCC
Molecule: small RNA, 27 nt
Filed under: Bombyx mori (domestic silkworm)
Lineage: Eukaryota; Metazoa; Arthropoda; Insecta; Lepidoptera; Bombycidae
Description: ovarian small RNA-24690
Source: RNAcentral